UACAGAGGUCUCAAGCGUUGUUCGGAUUCAUUGGGCGUAAAGGGUGCGUAGGUGGCUGUGCAAGUCUGGUGUGAAAUCUCGGGGCUCAACCCCGAAACUGCACCGGAUACUGCAUGGCUGGAGGACUGUAGAGGAGAGAGGAAUUCACGGUGUAGCAGUGAAAUGCGUAGAGAUCGUGAGGAAGACCAGUUGCGAAGGCGUCUCUCUGGGCAGUUCCUGACACUGAGGCACGAAGGCCAGGGGAGCAAACGGG
This 253-nucleotide ribosomal RNA is filed under the name uncultured bacterium. RNAcentral's name for it is "partial 16S ribosomal RNA". It matches the Rfam family "Bacterial small subunit ribosomal RNA", at positions 524 to 776 of the family's 1533-position model. The record is from RNAcentral.